UGGCUAGCUGAUACGCGCCUAGGCGCACCCAGAACCCUUUGUGAACUUAUACCUUUUGUUGCCUCGGCGCAUGCUGGCCUCUAGUAGGCCCCUCACCCCGGUGAGGAGACGGCACGCCGGCGGCCAAGUUAACUCUGUUUUUACACUGAAACUCUGAGAAAAAACACAAAUGAAUCAAAACUUUCAACAACGGAUCUCUUGGUUCUGGCAUCGAUGAAGAACGCAGCGAAAUGCGAUAAGUAAUGUGAAUUGCAGAAUUCAGUGAAUCAUCGAAUCUUUGAACGCACAUUGCGCCCUCUGGUAUUCCGGAGGGCAUGCCUGUUCGAGCGUCAUUUCAACCCUCAAGCAUUGCUUGGUGUUGGGGCACUGCUUUUAACGAAGCAGGCCCUGAAAUCUAGUGGCGAGCUCGCCAGGACCCCGAGCGUAGUAGUUAAACCCUCGCUCUGGAAGGCCCUGGCGGUGCCCUGCCGUUAAACCCCCAACUUCUGAAAAUUUGACCUCGGAUCAGGUAGGAAUACCCGCUGAACUUAAGCAUAUCAAAAGUGGGAGGAA
RNAcentral lists this ribosomal RNA (552 nucleotides) under Phomopsis sp. HGGJ-24. RNAcentral describes it as "eukaryotic LSU rRNA". The stretch from base 179 to 332 matches the Rfam family "5.8S ribosomal RNA". The record is from RNAcentral. Lineage: Eukaryota; Fungi; Ascomycota; Sordariomycetes; Diaporthales; Diaporthaceae.